This 35-nucleotide ribosomal RNA is filed under the name Myrica hartwegii. RNAcentral's name for it is "partial 18S ribosomal RNA". Lineage: Eukaryota; Viridiplantae; Streptophyta; Magnoliopsida; Fagales; Myricaceae. The record is from RNAcentral.
CAGGUUUCCGUAGGUGAACCUGCGGAAGGAUCAUU